RNAcentral lists this ribosomal RNA (67 nucleotides) under Staphylococcus aureus. Its description in RNAcentral is "partial 23S ribosomal RNA". RNAcentral also lists the same sequence under 2 other names. Lineage: Bacteria; Bacillati; Bacillota; Bacilli; Caryophanales; Staphylococcaceae. The record is from RNAcentral.
AGAUUAAGUUAUUAAGGGCGCACGGUGGAUGCCUUGGCACUAGAAGCCGAUGAAGGACGUUACUAAC